AACGAACGCUGGCGGCGUGCUUAACACAUGCAAGUCGAACGAGAAAGAGUUCUUCGGAACUUGAGUAAAGUGGCGCACGGGUGAGUAACGCGUAGAUAACCUGCCCUGAUGUCUGGGAUAACCCUUCGAAAGGGGGACUAAUACCGGAUAAUCUGAUUAUUUAUAAAAGUAAUCAGGAAAGAUGGCCUCUGAUGUAAGCUAUCGCAUUUGGAGGGGUCUGCGUACCAUUAGCUUGUUGGUGGGGUAAUGGCCUACCAAGGCGACGAUGGUUAGCGGGUCUGAGAGGAUGAUCCGUCACACUGGCACUGAAACACGGGCCAGACUCCUACGGGAGGCAGCAGUGAGGAAUAUUGCGCAAUGGGGGAAACCCUGACGCAGCGACGCCGCGUGAGUGAGGAAGGCCUUCGGGUCGUAAAGCUCUGUCAGAAGGGAAGAAAGUGUGCAUCGGGUUAAUAUCCGUUGCAUUUGACGGGUACCUUCAAAAGGAAAGCACCGGCUAACUCCGUGCCAGCAGCCGCGGUAAUACGGAGGGUGCAAGCGUUGUUCGGAAUCACUGGGCGUAAAGGGCGCGCAGGCGGUUUGAUUAGUCAGAUGUGAAAGCCCACGGCUUAACCGUGGAAGUGCAUUUGAAACUGUCAGACUUGAGUAUCAGAGGGGAAAGUGGAAUUCCCGGUGUAGAGGUGAAAUUCGUAGAUAUCGGGAGGAAUACCGGUGGCGAAGGCGACUUUCUGGCUGAAUACUGACGCUGAGGCGCGAAAGCGUGGGGAGCAAACAGGAUUAGAUACCCUGGUAGUCCACGCCGUAAACGAUGUCAACUAGGUGUAGGGGGUGUUGAUCCCCUCUGUGCCGCAGCUAACGCAUUAAGUUGACCGCCUGGGGAGUACGGUCGCAAGAUUAAAACUCAAAGGAAUUGUCGG
RNAcentral lists this ribosomal RNA (917 nucleotides) under uncultured delta proteobacterium. RNAcentral describes it as "bacterial SSU rRNA". It matches the Rfam family "Bacterial small subunit ribosomal RNA", at positions 28 to 916 of the family's 1533-position model. Lineage: Bacteria; Deltaproteobacteria. The record is from RNAcentral.